Long non-coding RNA from Canis lupus familiaris (dog), 690 nucleotides. RefSeq lists it as uncharacterized. The transcript has 3 exons. Lineage: Eukaryota; Metazoa; Chordata; Mammalia; Carnivora; Canidae. The record is from RefSeq and is a predicted model, not a curated record.
GUCCUUUUGAUAAUUCUAGGUGGUUAAGAAUUACAAACAUAGAAAAGCUGGAGUGGCAGUGACUGCUAAGGAAUCACUUCUCCGGCCCCCGCACCCGCUCUGCUUUUCUCUUCUUUUCCAGGGAAGAUCAAGGCUUUGGUUGGGAAAGACCGAGAACUGCACUCAGCCUGCAGCCAAGUCAGAGCCCCUGCCCAGCAUGGAGGCCUCAAGUUACACUGUGAUCCUGAGAGUACCUAGUACAUCUGUGUGUGCAGAGUUGAAAAUGCCUUCUGAAUAAAGUCAUUGUUUUUUAAUCACCAAAGAAGAAUAACCUCCUGGGACUUCAAUAUCCAGCAUGACCUUAUGAGCCACAUUGAAGACGAGCCUGGCCUCCUGAGCUUCACUGUCAUCCCAAACACUCACCUUGGACCGUCGAAUUACAAAGAAAUCGUCUUCUUGUUGACUAUACUGUUGUUGACUAUGCUGUUGAACCGUUGAUAUAUAUUAAUUACAGAUAUAGAUAUUUUGAUAUAUUAGUGAGACUUACCCUAAUCCUAAUUAAGAGAAGCAUUUAGCCAAAAUCCAUUCUCAGUGUACCUGUGGGGAUGUUUUUUUUUCUUCCCCCUAACAUUUAAUCUGACUAUGGGGCAUGGUUAUUUGUCUUUGUUGUUGUUAUUCUGUAGCAUCCAAACAACCUUCCUUCUUUAAAGG